CUUGCUACCUAUAUAUAUUAACGUCAUAAUUUGACUGUGUCGCUCCAUUUUAUGUAGUUCUAAAUGUUCAAUCUUUUUGCUUUCCAGGAGAGUGUAUGCUCUUAACAAACGAGGGGUGUUUCCAGAAGAAUUUGUGGCUUUGAGAUAUCUCACAUAUUUGAGUAUCUAUCAGAAUUAUUUCACCGGUCCCCUACCGGCAUUCAUUGGCAAUAUGUCUGCAUUGACUCACUUGUCAAUUGGCGUCAAUUCAUUCUCUGAGCCCAUCCCCAAGGAGCUUGGAAACCUUAAGGAGCUAACAUAUUUGGACAUUGGAUCAAAUAAUUUCUCCGGAACACUCCCUCCAGAACUUGGUAAUUUAGUCAAGCUCGAGCAACUUUACAUGGACAGCUGUGGACUCGGUGGUGAAAUUCCUUCAACAUUUGCCAACCUCACCAACAUGCAAGUCGUCUGGGCAUCGGACAAUCCUUUCUCGGGAAAGAUACCUGAUUUCAUAGGGAAUUGGACACAACUCUAUCAUUUGGAAUUUCAAGGGAACUCUUUCGAAGGCCCAAUACCAGCCAACUUUUCUCAACUGACCUCAUUGGAGUAUCUGCUAAUCAGUGAUAUAUACAACGGGAGCUCUUCUCUUGAUUUCAUAAAAAAUCUGAAAAGCUUGACUGAUUUAGGACUACGAAACGCAUUAAUCACCGGUACCAUCCCUUCUGAUAUUGGAGAAUAUCAAAGUCUAAAGACAUUGGAUCUGAGUUUCAACAAUUUGACAGGCCAACUACCAAGUUCUUUGUUCAACUUGAGUAAUCUUACAUACUUGUUUCUUGGAAACAAUAGUCUCUCUGGACCUCUUCCGAGCCAAAAGAGCUUUCAACUUCAGACUAUAGAUUUGUCUUACAAUUUUUUAUCAGGAAGCCUUCCCCAGUGGGUGACCACAAUGUCGCAACUGAACUUAGUGGUCAACAACUUCACAUUUGACGGUUCAAACAUAGCUCUUCCUCGAUUGAAUUGCCUCCAGAGAAAUUUUCCAUGCAAUCGAAAUACCCCACGAUCAAGCUUCUCAAUCAACUGUGGUGGACAGCAAAUGACGGGAAGUGAUGGCAUAUUGUAUGAGAGUGACGACUCAGAACUUGGUCUAGCAACAUUCAGUGUAACAGAGAAUUGGGCUGUCAGCAAUGUCGGUUUGCUUUCUGACCGUACCUCAUCGUUGAACAAGACCGUUGCACAAGUCACCGGAACAAAUGGGACCCCGGAGCUUCUCCAAACUUCAAGAACGUCCACAGGAUCACUGAGAUACUAUGGCCUGGGCCUUAAGAAUGGGCUCUACAAUGUAACAUUGCACUUUGCAGAGACGGUUUAUGAAAGUCGCACUUCACAAACUUGGCAAAGUCUAGGACGACGUGUAUUUGAUAUCUAUAUUCAGGGUACCCAAAGGACGAAGGACUUUGACAUAUCGAAGGAGGCAGGUGGUGUUAACCAAGCAGUUGUGAGAAAAUUUAAUGUUAACGUGUUAGAGAAUUAUCUUGAAAUUCAUCUAUUCUGGGCUGGUAAAGGGACUUGUUGCAUACCCAAUUAUGGUGAUUACGGCCCACUAAUAGCAGCUGUCCAUGCUGCUUCAGAUUUUACAAAGAAGAGCAAUAUUGGGUUGAUAGUUGGUAUUGCAGUUCUUGUUGGAGUUGUGAGCUUGCUAUUAAUAUUUGCAAUUCUAUAUAUGAGGAGGAAAAAAUCAGAAAAAGAAGACGAUGAAGAUAUUCUAGGAUUAGGCCCCCGGCCAUAUACUUUCAGUUAUGUUGAAUUGAGAACUGCAACUGAAGAUUUUAAUCCUUCAAAUAAGCUAGGAGAGGGAGGAUAUGGCCCCGUUUACAAGGGUACACUUUCUGAUGGUAGAGUAGUGGCUGUGAAGCAACUUUCAGUAUCAUCUCACCAAGGGAAGAGUCAAUUUGUAUCUGAAAUUGCUACCAUAUCUGCUGUGCAACAUCGGAAUCUAGUGAAAUUGUAUGGAUGCUGCAUUGAAGGCAGACACCGCAUUUUGGUUUAUGAGUAUCUUGAAAACAAGAGCCUUGAUCAGGCACUUUUUGGAACAAGUAACUUGCACCUUGACUGGCCUACUCGAUUCAAUAUAUUGUUGGGAACAGCAAGAGGAUUUGCUUACCUUCAUGAGGAGUCAAGGCCAAGGAUUGUACAUCGAGAUGUCAAAGCGAGUAAUAUUUUGCUUGAUGCAGAACUCUCCCCAAAAAUAUCAGAUUUUGGAUUGGCAAAGCUUUAUGAUGAUGAGAUAACCCACAUCAGCACCCGGGUUGCAGGGACAAUAGGCUAUUUGGCACCGGAGUAUGCAUUGUUUGGACAUUUGACAGAGAAGGCCGAUGUGUUUGGUUUUGGAGUCGUUGUUUUAGAGAUCCUCAGCGGGAGACCAAACUCUUAUAAUAACUUGGAUCUAGAAAAGAUUUCUCUUCUUGAAUGGGUGUGGGCUCUACAUGAAAAUGACCAAACUCUAGGGCUGGUGGAUCCGAGAUUGACAAAGUUUGAUGAAACUGAAGCAACUAGAUUGAUAAGAGUAGCUCUCAUGUGCACGCAGGGAUCACCGAUGGCACGACCAUCUAUGUCACGCGUGGUUGCAAUGCUCUCUGGAGACAUUGACGUAGGCACUGUCAUGUCGAAGCCAAGCUAUUUGACAGAUUAUGAUUUCAAAGAUGUAACAACAUCAUUAACAAGUAGAUUUUUGGUGGAGGAUGAUACCCCAUCAACUUCAUCCAAGGGUAGUAAUGUUUGCCUCAACUAUCAAUCGAGAGGCAGCAAUGCAAGUGGUGCUAACACUCCCUGGAUUGACCAUGCGCCUUCUGUAAACGUCACUCAAUCACUGCUCGCUGAAAUUAGAGCAAAAGGAAGGUGAUAAAUAUCAGGAACUGAUUUUUGCAUGCUCUUUCUUUUGGUAGUGGGCAGGGGACUGGCAUGCCAGAUUUGAAUAUACCUUAGUAAAUGGAUGUAUAUCCUACUUAUUCAUACACAAUGUUUAUAGAUAUGUUCAUGAACCACCACCACUGGAUGGAGAUCCCACCACUAAAAUUUAAGAAUGUGUUCAUGGAAUUCAGAUAAUUUAAUAAGGCCUUUUUGGGUCUAUAAAUUGAGCCUUGAUGUUGUCCAGUUGCAGAAUAAAGAAGAAAAUGCCUUUUUAGGUCUAUAAAUUGAGCUUUGAUUUUGAUUGGAUGUGUUCACUAAUAUUUCAGAGACAAGUAACUUGCACCUUGGCUGGCCUACUUGAUUCAAUAUAUUGUUGGGAACAGCAAGAGGACUUGCUUACCUCCAUAAGGAGUCAAGGCCAAGGAUUGUACAUCGAGAUGUCAAAGCCAUUAAUAUUUUGCUCGAUGUAGAACUCCCCCCAAAAAUAUCAAAUUUUGGAUUGGAAAAGUUUUAUGAUGACGAGAAAACCCACAUCAGCACCCGAGUUGCAGGGACAAUGUCACAUUUAUACUUGCAUGAAAUUUUAAUACACAUCAUGUUAAUAAUGCCACUAAUGAUCUCAAGAAACAUUGUACAACCAUUUGAUUAUCUUGCAUUGCAGAGGCUAUUUGGCACCCGAGUAUGCAAUGCGUGGACAUUUGACAGAUAAGGCUGAUGUGUUUGGUUUUGGAGUCGUUGCUCUGUAAAUCCCUAGCGGGAGACCAAACUCUGACAAUAACUUAGAUCCAUAAAAGAUUUAUCUUCUUGAAUGGACAUGGACUCUACAUGAAAACGACCAAAUUCUGGGGCUGGUGGAUCCAAGAUUGACAGAGUUUGACGAAAA
Malus domestica (apple) is the source of this 3769-nucleotide non-coding RNA. Lineage: Eukaryota; Viridiplantae; Streptophyta; Magnoliopsida; Rosales; Rosaceae. The record is from RefSeq and is a predicted model, not a curated record.